This 877-nucleotide ribosomal RNA is filed under the name Neoscytalidium dimidiatum. RNAcentral describes it as "partial large subunit ribosomal RNA". It matches the Rfam family "Eukaryotic large subunit ribosomal RNA", at positions 45 to 938 of the family's 3401-position model. Lineage: Eukaryota; Fungi; Ascomycota; Dothideomycetes; Botryosphaeriales; Botryosphaeriaceae. The record is from RNAcentral.
UAUAAGCGGAGGAAAAGAAACCAACAGGGAUUGCCUCAGUAACGGCGAGUGAAGCGGCAACAGCUCAAAUUUGAAAGCUGGCCCCCCCCGGGGGUCCGCGUUGUAAUUUGUAGAGGAUGAUUCGGCGAGGGCUCCCGCCUAAGUCCCCUGGAACGGGGCGUCAUAGAGGGUGAGAAUCCCGUAUGCGGUGGGCUGCCUUAGCCAUGUGAAUCUCCUUCGACGAGUCGAGUUGUUUGGGAAUGCAGCUCUAAAUGGGAGGUAAAUUUCUUCUAAAGCUAAAUACCGGCCAGAGACCGAUAGCGCACAAGUAGAGUGAUCGAAAGAUGAAAAGCACUUUGGAAAGAGAGUUAAAAAGUACGUGAAAUUGUUGAAAGGGAAGCGCUUGCAGCCAGACUUGCCCGCAGUUGCUCAGCCGGUCUCCUGACCGGCGCACUCUUCUGCGGCCAGGCCAGCAUCAGUUCGGGCGGUCGGAUAAAGGCCCCGGGAACGUAGCUCCUCUCGGGGAGUGUUAUAGCCCGGGGUGGAAUGCGGCCAGCCUGGACUGAGGAUCUCGCUUCGGCUAGGAUGCUGGCGUAAUGGCUGUAAGCGGCCCGUCUUGAAACACGGACCAAGGAGUCUAACAUCUAUGCGAGUGUUUGGGUGUCAAACCCAUGCGCGUAAUGAAAGUGAACGGAGGUGGGAACCCUCGCGGGUGCACCAUCGACCGAUCCUGAUGUCUUCGGAUGGAUUUGAGUAAGAGCAUAGCUGUUGGGACCCGAAAGAUGGUGAACUAUGCCUGAAUAGGGUGAAGCCAGAGGAAACUCUGGUGGAGGCUCGCAGCGGUUCUGACGUGCAAAUCGAUCGUCAAAUUUGGGUAUAGGGGCGAAAGACUAAUCGA